CCCAAUUAGUCCACCUUUCACAUAACAAUGUCACCUGUGAUGCAAAUUGUGACCUUAACUAUUUCUAAGAGGAAAAAAAUAGUUAUUCUUUUUACCUGCGUAAUUUCCAAUCAUUGUGACGGUAACAUCAGAAUUAGGUCCAAUGACAGCAAUAGUAUGAUGGCGUCGAGGAGAAAGAGGAAGAGCAGGCCCAUGAUUCUUAAGAAGAACAAUGCCCUGUCUAGCAGCUUCAAGUGCGAGUUCUUGGUCUGUUAGAAAACGGAUCAUGGAUCACCCAUGUGGACCGACCCAAUCCAACCCGUCACUUAUUUGUUUUUUGAUUAUCAGAAUAGAAAGAAGAUAGGGGAAUAACUUGUUGAUUUAAAUAAAAAAAGGGGUGGGAACAGUUAACUGUUCACCCGCCCAAUUCCCUUAUAAGUAUGCUUCUUCAGACAACAAAACCAAGAAAAAAGAUCAGAAACAAAUAAAAAUACAGUGCAUUUUUAACAAAAACACCAAGAGAAAAGAGCAUUUAGUUUGUGACAUCAAGGCUUUGUUUCCUAGAGAUUCGAAGCAAACUUGGGCAGAUCCUUUCGGAAGCAGAAUCUAUUUCCGCUGCAAACUAAAGGUACACUGUUUUUGCUCCGAAAAUUACUAUCAAUAUCCAAUUGUUUCAAUUGAAAGUUACAAUUACAAUUAACUUCCCAAACAGUAUCUUCCUUCCUCUUAUCUAAUCAAAUCUAAUUUUUGCUUAUCCCCUUGUUGAAUAAGAAUAAUUGGGGAAAAAUAAUCUCCAAUAAACGCAAAGACAUCUUUACGUGGAGAUUUUACCCAAAAAAGAACAAGGCAAAAAAAAAAAAAAUGAUUCAAGAUUUAAUAACUCCAAGAACUGAUGCUUGAAGGGACAGGGAGUGCUUAGCAUCACCAAUGUGAAGACUGUGUUCACCUAUAGGAAUUCUUCGAAUACCAGCCUUAUCUACCACACUUAAAUACUUGCACACAUGAAUAUUUAUCGCCACAUGUUGUUGUGAUCUUGCUGGGACGUGCACUUUUUGAAAUGCGACCAAUUGUUUAUGUGGCGCCCAUAGCCCAACGGGUGGCUUUGAAAAUACGAGCAAUGUGUGCGAACCGUCCUUUGAUCCCACGUUUUUCACAUCAAUAUGAACCUGAAUUGAUAGCUUGCUGCAUUUUGCGUGUGUCACUCGGAUUGCCUUGUUGGAUAUGCUAGUGGUGUUGAAUGUAUGACGGCCGUCUAUUGGAAUGGCCAGUGUUUUUGGAGCUUCAAAAAUCGUGGUUACGAAUUUUGUGUAGCUUAAUCCAUGCCCGAAUGGGUACACUAAUGGACCUUUGUAGAAACGGUAAGUUCUACCAGGGUAGCCUUUGGCUAAGUUUGAUCGCAUUUCCAUUGUUGUCAUUGGUAAAUUGUUUAGGUACUCCUGUGGAUACCAUGUCAUUGGCAGCUUCCCAUCUGAAAAUAGUAGUAUACAAUCAGUAUAUAAUUGGGACACGUUAAUCGUAAUAAGAAUCAUUUGUAUUUAUUAGCUCUAUUCACUAUGCUAUUUGAGUUGUGGAUCCCUUAGGGAAAAUGAGGAUUAUUUGCACCAUAUGGACUGAAGUAACGUGGAUUGGAUUUAAAUCAAAAACGUCAUUCAAAUGUCUCGAAAAAUGAGUGUGCUACAAUAAGUGAAAGUCCACUUUUGUGCAAAGGUUUUAGUAAUUUAACCUGGAUUAUGGGCUCCAAAAAGGACAUCAGCAAUGGCAGCACCACCAGCUUGUCCAGGAUAGCCAGCCCACACUAUACCGCCAAUUCGAGGAUCGUCAUUGGCAAACGUAACAUCAACUGGGCCUCCAGACAUGAGGACCAAUACCACAGGACCUUUCGAGGCCUUGGAUACUUCGGAGAUGAGUUCUUGUUGGAAUCCAGGCAGUAGUAACCCAGUUCUAUCUCUGAAUUCAGCCUCAAUAGACUGGUCUAGGCCCAUUACUAGCACUGUUGCAUCCGCUUGAUGUGCAGCAUUUACAGCUCCAGCAAAUAAUUUGUCGUCAGUGCAUGCUACAUCACCACAACCUUUUUCGUGAAUGGUCUUUGCAUACUUUGUUAUUCCUUGUAAUGGGCUUGUGUAUCCACAUGCAACACCUAUAUCAAAAGAAGCCCAAUUAGUCCACCUUUCACAUAACAAUGUCACCUGUGAUGCAAAUUGUGACCUUAACUAUUUCUAAGAGGAAAAAAAUAGUUAUUCUUUUUACCUGCGUAAUUUCCAAUCAUUGUGACGGUAACAUCAGAAUUAGGUCCAAUGACAGCAAUAGUAUGAUGGCGUCGAGGAGAAAGAGGAAGAGCAGGCCCAUGAUUCUUAAGAAGAACAAUGCCCUGUCUAGCAGCUUCAAGUGCGAGUUCUUGGUGGGACGGGCUGCAAACAUCUCUUGGGCCAAGAUGCCCA
This 2417-nucleotide long non-coding RNA is filed under the name Capsicum annuum. RNAcentral's name for it is "long non-coding RNA (CANN_LNC001520)". Lineage: Eukaryota; Viridiplantae; Streptophyta; Magnoliopsida; Solanales; Solanaceae. The record is from RNAcentral.